Molecule: long non-coding RNA, 4261 nt
Organism: Triticum aestivum (bread wheat)
Lineage: Eukaryota; Viridiplantae; Streptophyta; Magnoliopsida; Poales; Poaceae
Exons: 6
Source: RefSeq, a predicted model, not a curated record
AGAAAUAGAAGCCGUCACCCUUAUCCCUAACCUCCUGACCCCAACCAUCCCACACAUCACGCCAUGGAUUGCGCCGCCGCCCUGCUCAACAGCCAACGCCGUCGCCGCCUGCCCCAUCCGUCGUCGCUCCCGCCGCAUCAACCCUCUGCCGCAUCCCACCGCCAUCAUGAACCAUCUCUCUCCUUGGUCUUCUGUCUUUGACCAAUACUGGGUGGCGGCUGUGCUUCCGGUCGCGUGGUGGCGAUGUGGCUGGUCGAGGGAACACAGUGUUCCUGUUGUGCCCCUUCACACAUUGGACCACCGUGGCGCGGAAGUACAUGGAGAAGAUCGCGCUGCUCUUAGCAAAUUCGGGUGUUUUGAGUCGGCUACCCAGCAAGGGGUAUGGUCACAUGGAUGAUUAGCAUCUUUUGGCAAAAGCAUGUUAAUUCACUGAAGAAAUACUACUGCACCUAUGACUAUGAGCGGAGAUGUCCACUCACGAUUUUUGAGGACCACUUGAGGAUGUGAUCAGUAGUGCAGCUUCAAAGCUGCUUGAUAUGACAUAGUGUUUGAUUUUUACAAAUCUGAAAGUCAAGCCUAAGCAAUGUUACGGUUCAGAUCUAAACCUUAAACUUACUGAUUAUUUGUUGUGCGUUACUAAUCUGACCGGCCAUCGAUCUCCACCUUAACCUUAUUUAUCUUUCUUAUUAGCUCCACGUCUCUAGCGUCUAUAGAGUCCUAACCCAAGAAUAUCUCCUGCCGCCUUCAGUCCAAACCCUCGGCAAGAGUCUCCCCUGCAUCCUCCUCUUCUCCUUGCCGCCUAUGUCUCCUUCUUUUGCUCCUCGGGUCGCUAUUGUGACGCGUCCGUCGUCUUUUUCAUGAGGAGCUAGAUGAUUUCAGUCUGAGAUUACAUCCUCCUAUAGAGAAUCCUACCCUUUCCAUGCUGUCACUGUAGCCAGGUCUAGCAAAGGGGAUAAAUUUAUGUUGCAAAUGAGAUGCUAAAGUUUAUAUGCAGAGGUGUGCAACUCUGUAUCCAUCAACAUCCAUACUUCAGGGUGGAGUAGAGGAAGGGAGCAUUUACCAGAGAUGUGUUUUUAGCAGCAUUAUUUUUAGAUAAAAUAAUUAUACCUGCUUUUAUCUGUAAGCUGCACACAGGGCAGAGGAUGCAAUUUGGUUUAGAAGAAGAAGAAAACACAUUGACACUAUGGCUUAUAAUUCUUAUGAUAGUAUCAGAAAAUAUAUGCAAUAUGAUUUAGGUAACAAAAACACAGCAUUAUGUCUUCGUUGGAAAAUUUGCCACUCCGGAGACAUAGACAGAAUUAUCACUUUCAUCUUAUUAAUGGUAUUUUCUUAAAGUAAGAAGAUAAAGAAGAGAUGGGUUUAUAUGAAGCAGGCCUGCCGCAAGAGUCAAAAGAUGAUGUCUCAGUAUUUCACAUUUAAAGCAAGGACAAGUGCUCAUAAAUGAUUAUAUGUAUCUACUUUAUUAAACUAGCAUAUUAACUAAUCACCCGAAUCCAUGUACUCUAUAUUCUUACUGAUUGCAUGACGUUCUUUUGCUUCUUGAUAAAUAUGUCCAUUUUCAUUAUUAUUUCAUAAUAUCUGCUAUGUACAGUGGCAUCAUUGAGCAUUCCUUUACUUUUCACAUUUCAGUUCAAUGUUCUGCACAGUGCACAGUAUAACGCUACAUUGGAUGGCGCUAUUAAAUACUUCGAGGUCAUGUGACAGAGCACGAAAAAAGAACUAUUGAGGUUUUUUUUAAAUCAAAAUCACAAUGUUAUAUAUAUGUUUCGUGCCUCUCACGUCAAUUCUAAGAGGGCACAGGUUGGGUUCAAUAUUUUUAUCGUCAGAUCUAACCAUGAUGAAGGCAGGCCCCUCCGAUUGCUAUUAGGAAUGUGGAAGGUUGACCAGCCGUCUCUUCCUCUCCAUGGUGUGCAUGUUAAGAACUUAUGCAGCAGCGGACGCCAAUUUCAUGGAGCCGUCAGCAUCAACUUUUGUGGAGUCCUCUUCUAGGAUCUGAUACGAGUCCCUCCGACAUCAGAUAAGGUUUGGGUAUGCAUGAGGACGAAUCGGAUAAUCAAUUGCAAACUAAUUGUAUCGUAUGUUGUGUACUAUCGACGCAUUUGCUUGGGUGGAAAAGUCUCGCUUCUGAUUACAGCACUUUCAGAAGACAGUAGAAGUCGUUUGGUUCAGCCCUUCUGAUUUGUGUUACGGUGCUAUCGGAUAAAGCGCUUCACUUCGCUUCCGUGAAAAAGUCCGAUCACGGCUGGAUACAGGAUCCUCUCCACUACGCAUUCACUCACGGCCAAGCCAAACAAAACGCAUAUUCAGGACUCAGGAGGAAAUAUCAGAGGCAAAGCUUCCCGACAGUAAAAAUCAAAAACGAUACAAACGUGGAACCAAACGCCUCCCAUAUUUCUUCGGUUCCACUUGGAAAACAUAGAUUGAUUAUGUAUCAAUAAACCAUGUGUUAGUCAAGACAAAAACAUGGAUGUGAAGCUCAGAGAAAAAUGCAUAGAAAGUUGUAUCAAGGUGGUUCUUCAAGGAAGCAAGGACCGAGGCUUGCAAUACGUGAGCCAGAUGAUGAACUACCUGGGGAAGCUUACGUGCGGCCUUGUGAAUGGCCGUCAAAAGAGUUUAUGGUUCGAGCAGGCAUUAAGGAUGAAUUCGAUGCAUAUGUGCGUAAUGCUGAUCUUGAGGAAUUCAUGCAAGAUAAGUGCCCUCAAUACCAAUAUUUAACUGAUUCAUUUGUGAGAAGGUUUAAAUUUACAUCUUCGCGUAAUUGUCACAAUGUACUGUUUGAUCUUUAUGAUAAAUCAUAUACCAUGGUCUUAGAAGAUUUUACUACUGCUUGUAAACUCCCACAAUGGGUAGUGCUAGUGAACCUCGCAAAUUUGAAUUUAAAGAUUUUCUUACUAGUAUCACUAUGGGGGAAUCCAGAGAAAUAGCACAAGCCACCAUAGGGAGCAUUCAUUUUCCUGCUAUACAUUAUUUUGCUCUUUUUAUAGGCAGAUGCGUAAAUGGUAAGAACGAAGCAUGUCACAUGUGUGUUCCUGACCUUAGCAUUCUCAGGAGUGCGGUGUUAGGAGAUAAACAAUAUAACUUGGGGGUCAUCGUUGCAUGUAGGUUGCAUAAUAAUGGUUUAAUUGGAGAUUUGUUUAGUGGGAUUUAUGCAACCUGUAUAGCUAAUUAUCUUGGGGUACCCAUACAUGAAAAUGAUAGAGAGUUGAUUUCUGCUUACCUAGAUUAUAAUGCCAUGGUUAACCACCAGUUUAUUGAAAGGAAAGAACAAUCCCUCCAAUAUCGACUAAUCUUUGACAGACGUCGCGCUAUCCAUAUUACUCUCCCUGCUCCUGCUUUCUUUGACUAUCAGGCAAAAAGAAGAUAUAUUAUAACCAGGGAGGAAGCGAACGAGUACGAGAAGAGGACGGAGGCAGCUCGCCGCCAGGCUGUCGCUCGUGAGGCAAUGGCUUGUGCAUCUCAGUACGACCCCAGUUACAACUUCGAAUAUCCACCAGGCCAUCCAUGGGCAUAGACCAACUUAGGCCAAAAGCCUAAGCUUGGGGGGUACAUAUUUCUCACCGACAUCACAUUCAUGUUCACACACUCAUUCUAGUUGUCGGUGCUCAUACUUUUUCACUGUGCUAUCCAUGCUAGUUUAUAUUUUAUUUUCUUGCUUUCUUCUCGUGUGUUUGAAUAAUCUUAAGAAAAAAAUUAGUAAUAGCUUUUAGCUAGUUUACUUUUCAUGCCUGUAGUAGUAAUAAUUAAAAGAAAACUCAAAAAGAUUUCUCAUUCUUCCUUUUGCUUGUUGGGAGCUUUCCCGUGUAAAUAGUUUUAUUUCCAUUCUUUGGGGGUUAAAAGGAGAAGACCUUAAUAGAAUUUUUAAGUGUCUCUUUUAUGCAUAAUUGAUUGAUUUAACCAAGAUCCCAUAUUAUAUUGUCUUCUCUCUUAAAUUGAAUGCUUGCAGAUUCCAGCUUAGUCCAAUGCACGUGCACUAUUAUUAUUAUCCACACUGUUCGGUCGUGCAAGUGCAAGGAAAUAAUGAUGAUAUAUGUUGAAAUGAUUGAGAUAAAAGGAGCUGGUAUGAACUUGACCUAUCUUGUUUUUGUAAAUAUGAUUAGUUCAUCGUUCCUGAUUCAACUUAUUAUGAAUAAACAUGUUUGCAAUGACAAGUAGAGAUUAUAGUUGCUUAUGUCAUGCUUAAUUAGCUAGGAGUCUAUAAUGGUUUACCUUGCGUGCCAACAUGCUAUUAAAAUGAUUGUGAUGUGGUAUGAUAAGGUGGUAU